RNAcentral lists this ribosomal RNA (235 nucleotides) under uncultured Glomus. RNAcentral describes it as "partial 18S ribosomal RNA". The stretch from base 46 to 235 matches the Rfam family "Eukaryotic small subunit ribosomal RNA", at positions 693 to 886 of the family's 1831-position model. Lineage: Eukaryota; Fungi; Glomeromycota; Glomeromycetes; Glomerales; Glomeraceae. The record is from RNAcentral. RNAcentral also lists the same sequence under 1 other name.
GGACCAAUAUGUCGGUCGUGCCUCGGUACGUACUGGCAUCGUUGGUUUCUCCCUUCUGACGAACCAUGAUGUCAUUUAUUUGGUGUCGUGGGGAAUCAGGACUGUUACUUUGAAAAUUAGAGUGUUUAAAGCAGGCUCACGCUUGAAUACAUUAGCAUGGAAUAAUGAAAUAGGACGUUUGAUUCUAUUUUGUUGGUUUCUAGGACCGACGUAAUGAUUAAUAGGGAUAGUUGGG